AACGGCCGUACCAUGCUGAAUAUACCGGUUCUCGUUAGAUCACCGAAGUUAAGCAUCAUUGGGCGCGGUCAGUACUUUAUAAUUUCUAGUGACCACCUGGGAAACUGCGUGCCGUU
Non-coding RNA from Caerostris darwini, 116 nucleotides. NCBI's taxonomy places the organism in Eukaryota, Metazoa, Arthropoda, Arachnida, Araneae, Araneidae. The record is from the annotation of a GenBank genome assembly.